UGGGGAAUUUUGGACAAUGGGCGAAAGCCUGAUCCAGCAAUGCCGCGUGUGUGAAGAAGGCCUUCGGGUUGUAAAGCACUUUUGUCCGGAAAGAAAUCCUUGGCUCUAAUACAGUCGGGGGAUGACGGUACCGGAAGAAUAAGCACCGGCUAACUACGUGCCAGCAGCCGCGGUAAUACGUAGGGUGCAAGCGUUAAUCGGAAUUACUGGGCGUAAAGCGUGCGCAGGCGGUUUGCUAAGACCGAUGUGAAAUCCCCGGGCUCAACCUGGGAACUGCAUUGGUGACUGGCAGGCUAGAGUAUGGCAGAGGGGGGUAGAAUUCCACGUGUAGCAGUGAAAUGCGUAGAGAUGUGGAGGAAUACCGAUGGCGAAGGCAGCCCCCUGGGCAAGUACUGACGCUCAUGCACGAAAGCGUGGGGAGCAAACAGGAUUAGAUACCCUGGUAGUCCACGCCCUAAACGAUGUCAACUAGUUGUUGGGGAUUCAUUUCCUUAGUAACGUAGCUAACGCGUGAAGUUGACCGCCUGGGGAGUACGGUCGCAAGAUUAAAACUCAAAUGAAUUGACGGGGUCAUAGCUGUUUCCU
Molecule: ribosomal RNA, 585 nt
Filed under: uncultured bacterium
Lineage: Bacteria
Description: partial 16S ribosomal RNA
Rfam family: Bacterial small subunit ribosomal RNA
Source: RNAcentral